Molecule: non-coding RNA, 74 nt
Organism: Triticum urartu
Lineage: Eukaryota; Viridiplantae; Streptophyta; Magnoliopsida; Poales; Poaceae
Source: Rfam
GGGGAAAUAGCUCAGUUGGUUAGAGUGCUGGUCUGUCACACCAGAGGUCAUGGGUUCGAACCCCGUUUUCCCUG